ACGAAAAAGAGAUAUGAAGCCUACUCACUUCUUCCUUCAGCCAAUAACACGCACAGAAGAAAGAGGCUAGGUAAACAACUCCUAAGUCUUCCUCAUGGCCAAAACCAAGUUGCGGAAUAAGGAAAUAAUACUCUUAUUCUUUUCCUCCUCUUCACUCUAAAAAUUCUCAAGAAAUCAGCAACACAAUCUCAAUCUACAAAUCACGAGCUUUUUAAUAUGGCAAGUUUGACAAUUUAUUGUCAUAAUUCUUUUAAUCAAUUUUGGGAAUUAUCUCCCUUGCUCAUCACGGAUCUUAGUUACCAAUUGUAUAAAUUGGGACUCCUUCUACCCAAUUACAAACAACCAGUAUCACAAUAUUAAGGGUAGUGAGAUCGAGUUUAUAGUACAAGGGUGAUCGAAGAGCUACGGUGUCGAGGAUUAUUGGAGGCGAGUAUUCGAAAUUGUCAUAGGAUCGAGUGUAGCGGCUACCUUGUUAGGUGAUGAUGAUGACUCAACGUGAUCUAAAUGUUGCAUCGGGGACGAAGGGAGAAAUCACCUAGUUUAGGUUCACUAUUAUGAACUCUAGUAUGAGUACCAUUUCGAUUAUGUUUUAAAAACUAUUUCCAUUUUCAAUUAAUUAAUGAAAGUUAAUUAUGUA
Chenopodium quinoa (quinoa) is the source of this 637-nucleotide long non-coding RNA. RefSeq lists it as uncharacterized. The record is from RefSeq and is a predicted model, not a curated record. The transcript is spliced from 2 exons. Lineage: Eukaryota; Viridiplantae; Streptophyta; Magnoliopsida; Caryophyllales; Amaranthaceae.